UUUUUUUUAUCAAUUCCAACCAAAUCCUAAUGAAAUUCUAAAUUCUAAAAAAAUCUGAAUCAAAUUCUAAACAAACUUUAAUCAAAUUUCAAACAUAUCCUAAUCAAAUCCUAAAAACAUCUUAAUCAAAUCUUAAAUAAAUCCUAAUCAAAUCUUAAGAAAAUCCUAAAUCUUAAUCCUAGAUCAAACUCCAAUCAAAUCUUAAGUAAAUCAUAAUUCUAAGCCAAAUCUUAAUCAAAUCCUAAAUCUUAAUCUUAAUUCAAAUU
RNAcentral lists this long non-coding RNA (266 nucleotides) under Physcomitrium patens. Its description in RNAcentral is "long non-coding RNA (PPAT_LNC008646)". Lineage: Eukaryota; Viridiplantae; Streptophyta; Bryopsida; Funariales; Funariaceae. The record is from RNAcentral.